This 497-nucleotide ribosomal RNA is filed under the name uncultured bacterium. RNAcentral describes it as "partial 16S ribosomal RNA". It matches the Rfam family "Bacterial small subunit ribosomal RNA", at positions 28 to 507 of the family's 1533-position model. The record is from RNAcentral.
GAUGAACGCUGGCGGCGUGCCUAGUACAUGCAAGUCGAGCGAACGGACGAGAAGCUUGCUUUUCUGAUGUUAGCGGCGGACGGGUGAGUAACACGUGGAUAACCUACCUAUAAGACUGGGAUAACUUCGGGAAACCGGAGCUAAUACCGGAUAAUAUUUUGCACCGCAUGGUUCAAAAGUGAAAGACGGUCUUGCUGUCACUUAUAGAUGGAUCCGCGCUGCAUUAGCUAGUUGGUAAGGUAACGGCUUACCAAGGCAACGAUGCAUAGCCGACCUGAGAGGGUGAUCGGCCACACGGGAACGGAGACACGGUCCAGACUCCUACGGGAGGCAGCAGUAGGGAAUCGUCCGCAAUGGGCGAAAGCCUGACGGAGCAACGCCGCGUGAGUGAUGAAGGUCUUCGGAUCGUAAAACUCGGUUAUUAGGGAAGAACAUAUGUGUAAGGAACUGUGCACAUCUUGACGGUACCUAAUCAGAAAGCCACGGCUAACUACGUG